AAAUUGAAGAGUUUGAUCAUGGCUCAGAUUGAACGCUGGCGGCAGGCCUAACACAUGCAAGUCGAACGGUAACAGGAAGCAGCUUGCUGCUUUGCUGACGAGUGGCGGACGGGUGAGUAAUGUCUGGGAAACUGCCUGAUGGAGGGGGAUAACUACUGGAAACGGUGGCUAAUACCGCAUAACGUCGCAAGACCAAAGAGGGGGACCUUCGGGCCUCUUGCCAUCAGAUGUGCCCAGAUGGGAUUAGCUUGUUGGUGAGGUAACGGCUCACCAAGGCGACGAUCCCUAGCUGGUCUGAGAGGAUGACCAGCCACACUGGAACUGAGACACGGUCCAGACUCCUACGGGAGGCAGCAGUGGGGAAUAUUGCACAAUGGGCGCAAGCCUGAUGCAGCCAUGCCGCGUGUAUGAAGAAGGCCUUCGGGUUGUAAAGUACUUUCAGCGGGGAGGAAGGUGUUGUGGUUAAUAACCGCAGCAAUUGACGUUACCCGCAGAAGAAGCACCGGCUAACUCCGUGCCAGCAGCCGCGGUAAUACGGAGGGUGCAAGCGUUAAUCGGAAUUACUGGGCGUAAAGCGCACGCAGGCGGUCUGUCAAGUCGGAUGUGAAAUCCCCGGGCUCAACCUGGGAACUGCAUUCGAAACUGGCAGGCUUGAGUCUUGUAGAGGGGGGUAGAAUUCCAGGUGUAGCGGUGAAAUGCGUAGAGAUCUGGAGGAAUACCGGUGGCGAAGGCGGCCCCCUGGACAAAGACUGACGCUCAGGUGCGAAAGCGUGGGGAGCAAACAGGAUUAGAUACCCUGGUAGUCCACGCCGUAAACGAUGUCUACUUGGAGGUUGUGCCCUUGAGGCGUGGCUUCCGGAGCUAACGCGUUAAGUAGACCGCCUGGGGAGUACGGCCGCAAGGUUAAAACUCAAAUGAAUUGACGGGGGCCCGCACAAGCGGUGGAGCAUGUGGUUUAAUUCGAUGCAACGCGAAGAACCUUACCUGGUCUUGACAUCCACGGAAGAAUUCAGAGAUGAGUUUGUGCCUUCGGGAACCGUGAGACAGGUGCUGCAUGGCUGUCGUCAGCUCGUGUUGUGAAAUGUUGGGUUAAGUCCCGCAACGAGCGCAACCCUUAUCCUUUGUUGCCAGCGGUCCGGCCGGGAACUCAAAGGAGACUGCCAGUGAUAAACUGGAGGAAGGUGGGGAUGACGUCAAGUCAUCAUGGCCCUUACGACCAGGGCUACACACGUGCUACAAUGGCGCAUACAAAGAGAAGCGACCUCGCGAGAGCAAGCGGACCUCAUAAAGUGCGUCGUAGUCCGGAUUGGAGUCUGCAACUCGACUCCAUGAAGUCGGAAUCGCUAGUAAUCGUGGAUCAGAAUGCCACGGUGAAUACGUUCCCGGGCCUUGUACACACCGCCCGUCACACCAUGGGAGUGGGUUGCAAAAGAAGUAGGUAGCUUAACCUUCGGGAGGGCGCUUACCACUUUGUGAUUCAUGACUGGGGUGAAGUCGUAACAAGGUAACCGUAGGGGAACCUGCGGUUGGAUCACCUCCUUACCUUAAAGAA
This 1552-nucleotide ribosomal RNA is filed under the name Salmonella enterica subsp. enterica serovar Montevideo str. 515920-1. RNAcentral describes it as "bacterial SSU rRNA". It matches the Rfam family "Bacterial small subunit ribosomal RNA". Lineage: Bacteria; Pseudomonadati; Pseudomonadota; Gammaproteobacteria; Enterobacterales; Enterobacteriaceae. The record is from RNAcentral.